RNAcentral lists this ribosomal RNA (444 nucleotides) under Cercopithifilaria crassa. Its description in RNAcentral is "partial 12S ribosomal RNA". The record is from RNAcentral. Lineage: Eukaryota; Metazoa; Nematoda; Chromadorea; Rhabditida; Onchocercidae.
AUGCAUUUUAAUUUUAACUCUAUUUGUUGUGGUUUCUUUUUUUAUUAAAUUUUUUAUGCUGUUUUUUGUAAAAUGUUUAGGCUUGUUUUAAAUUUUAAAAAGAAAUUUAAAAUUUGAGUUUUGAACCGGAUUAGUACCCGGGUAAUCAAAGUUUAUUAAUACGGGAGUAAAGUUUUAUUUAAACCGAAAAAAUAUUGACUGACUUCAGAUUUUUCUUUGGAACAUGUAUUUUUUUUGGAAGGCCCUCCUUUUUUGAUGAUCUUGUGGGCCCAUGUAUGAUUGUUUAGUUUUUAUUUCUUUUGUGAUGCUUUUUUUUUGUAUUAAAAAACAGAUAAAAACUUGGUUUAUGGAUUUUGGUUUUAUGUGUUACUAUUUUUAAUGGGUUAUGGAUGUUUUUUUUAAUUUUUAUUGAAAUUGGAAAAGAAAGUAAUUUUUUUUUGAUAU